GGAAGUAAAAGUCGUAACAAGGUUUCCGUAGGUGAACCUGCGGAAGGAUCAUUAGUGAAUUGAAUAUGUUAGCGGACCUCUUCGGAGUCCCUAGCAUCAAAUCAUAUCCAUAACACCUGUGAACUGUAAGGCUGUCUUGAAAACGAAAGUGAUUAGAGCGCCUGCCCAUUUUAUACAAACAUUAAAGUAACAAACGUAGUCUUAUUAUAAUCUAAUAAAACUUUCAACAACGGAUCUCUUGGCUCUCGCAUCGAUGAAGAACGCAGCGAAAUGCGAUAAGUAAUGUGAAUUGCAGAAUUCAGUGAAUCAUCGAAUCUUUGAACGCACCUUGCGCUCUUUGGUAUUCCGAAGAGCAUGCCUGUUUGAGUGUCAUGAAAAUAUCAGCCUUGACUUGGGUUUAGUGCUCUUGUCUUGGCUUGGAUUUGGCUGUUUGCCGCUCGAAAGAGUCGGCUCAGCUUAAAAGUAUUAGCUGGAUCUGUCUUUGAGGCUUGGUUUGACUUGGCGUAAUAAGUUAUUUCGCUGAGGACAAUCUUCGGAUUGGCCGAGUUUCUGGGACGUUUGUCCGCUUUCUAAUACAAGUUCUAGCUUGCUAGACAUGACUUUUUUAUUAUCUGGCCUCAAAUCAGGUAGGACUACCCGCUGAACUUAAGCAUAUCAAUAAGCGGAGGAAAAGAAACUAACAAGGAUUCCCCUAGUAACGGCGAGUGAAGCGGGAAGAGCUCAAAUUUGAAAUCUGGUGGCCUCAGGCUAUCCGAGUUGUAAUCUAUAGAAACAUUUUCCGCGUUGGCCCAUGUACAAGUCUCUUGGAAUAGAGCGUCAUAGAGGGUGAGAAUCCCGUCCUUGACAUGGACUACCAGUGCUUUGUGAUAUGUUUUCAACGAGUC
This 884-nucleotide small RNA is filed under the name uncultured Cryptococcus. RNAcentral describes it as "eukaryotic LSU rRNA". The stretch from base 613 to 884 matches the Rfam family "Eukaryotic large subunit ribosomal RNA", at positions 1 to 266 of the family's 3401-position model. The record is from RNAcentral. Lineage: Eukaryota; Fungi; Basidiomycota; Tremellomycetes.